RNAcentral lists this small RNA (507 nucleotides) under Pongo abelii (Sumatran orangutan). Its description in RNAcentral is "retained intron". The record is from RNAcentral. Lineage: Eukaryota; Metazoa; Chordata; Mammalia; Primates; Hominidae.
AGUUUUCUUCUCUCCCCAUAGACUACAGUUUCGGGUGAAGAAGGAGGGCUGGGGCGGUGGCGGCACCCGCAGCGUCACCUUUGCCCGCGGCUUCGGCGACUUGGCAGUGCUCAAGGUUGGCGGUCGGACCCUCACGGUCAGCGUGGGCGAUGGGCUGCCCAAGAGCUCCAAGCCUACGCGGAAGGGAAUGGCCAAGGGAAAACCUCGGAGGUCGUCCCAGGCCCCUACCCGGGCGGCCCGUGCGCCCCCCAGAGGUGAGGAGCUGCGUCCCUUGCUAUCUUCCCUUGUCUGUUGUGGGUCCCAUGGCCUAAGCCAGACCUUCAGCAAACGAAAUCUAACAAACACAGUUUACUACUCACUUCUCUGUCCAGAACUCUCCAAAGCUCCACAUCUCCGGCAGAAUAAAGGCUAAACUUAGUUUGGCAUUCAGAGCCCUUCAAAACCCAAACCCGGCUAACCACUGACAUCUUCUCUCCUCCUACCCUACACUCCUGCCCUGUAAACUAC